AUGAAUAAAAGUACUUGUGUGGGGAAAGCAGAGACCCCGAGCGGGCUGUGGCGGCUACAUUGUCUGGCGUCCGCUCAGUGUUUUCGUCACAGCCAGGCCCGCCUGCCGCGGAGGGGAGGCGCGCUCUGCUCCCCGCGGAGGCUGGACCCCGGCUCCGCGUCCCGGGAAGGGUCCCCCCGCUAGUCACUCUGCACCCGGGUCAUCGGAUCCGCGAGGCGCUCUGAAAAUUGCGGAGCGGCCACCGGACGCCAGCUGGAGUAAGCAGCAGCAUGCAGUCGUCGCCAAGCCUCUGCGGACGCGCCCUGGUGGCGCUGGUUCUUGCCUGCGGCGUGGUGGGGGUCUGGGGAGAAGAGAGGGGAUUCCCGCCUGCCGGGGCCACUCCGCUUCUGCAAACCACAGAGAUAAUGACGCCACCCACUAAGACCUCCUGGCCCAGGAGUUCCAACACCAGUCUGCCGCGGUCGUUGGCACCUGCGGGGGUGCCUAAAGGAGGACGGACUGCAGGAGCCCCGCCACGCACCCUCUCCCCUCCCCGGUGCCAAGGAACCAUCGAGAUCAAAGGGACUUUCAAAUACAUCAACACGGUUGUGUCCUGCCUCGUGUUCGUGUUGGGCAUUAUCGGGAACUCCACACUGCUGAGAAUAAUCUACAAGAACAAGUGCAUGCGAAACGGCCCCAAUAUCUUGAUCGCCAGCCUGGCUCUGGGAGACCUGCUGCACAUCAUCAUUGACAUCCCCAUCAAUGUCUACAAGGUAAAGGGCCCCUGCUAA
Molecule: RNA transcript, 770 nt
Organism: Carlito syrichta (Philippine tarsier)
Lineage: Eukaryota; Metazoa; Chordata; Mammalia; Primates; Tarsiidae
Gene name: endothelin B receptor pseudogene
Exons: 3
Source: RefSeq, a predicted model, not a curated record